AGUGAACGCUGGCGGUAGGCCUAACACAUGCAAGUCGAACGGCAGCACAGGAAAGCUUGCUCUCUGGGUGGCGAGUGGCGGACGGGUGAGGAAUACAUCGGAAUCUACUCUGUCGUGGGGGAUAACGUAGGGAAACUUACGCUAAUACCGCAUACGACCUACGGGUGAAAGCAGGGGACCUUCGGGCCUUGCGCGAUUGAAUGAGCCGAUGUCGGAUUAGCUAGUUGGCGGGGUAAAGGCCCACCAAGGCGACGAUCCGUCGCUGGUCUGAGAGGAUGAUCAGCCUCACUGGAACUGAGACACGGUCCGGGCUCCUACGGGAGGAAGCAGUGGGGAAUAUUGGACAAUGGGCGCAAGCCUGAUCCAGCCAUACCGCGUGGGUGAAGAAGGCCUUCGGGUUGUAAAGCCCUUUUGUUGGGAAAGAAAUCCAGCUGGCUAAUACCCGGUUGGGAUGACGGUACCCAAAGAAUAAGCACCGGCUAACUUCGUGCCAGCCGCCGCCGUAA
Molecule: ribosomal RNA, 506 nt
Filed under: uncultured bacterium
Lineage: Bacteria
Description: partial 16S ribosomal RNA
Rfam family: Bacterial small subunit ribosomal RNA
Source: RNAcentral